Molecule: ribosomal RNA, 468 nt
Filed under: uncultured bacterium
Lineage: Bacteria
Description: partial 16S ribosomal RNA
Rfam family: Bacterial small subunit ribosomal RNA
Source: RNAcentral
GACGAACGCUGGCGGCGUGCUUAACACAUGCAAGUCGAACGGAAAGGCCCUGCUUUUGUGGGGUGCUCGAGUGGCGAACGGGUGAGUAACACGUGAGUAACCUGCCCUUGACUUUGGGAUAACUUCAGGAAACUGGGGCUAAUACCGGAUAGGAGCUCCUGCUGCAUGGUGGGGGUUGGAAAGUUUCGGCGGUUGGGGAUGGACUCGCGGCUUAUCAGCUUGUUGGUGGGGUAGUGGCUUACCAAGGCUUUGACGGGUAGCCGGCCUGAGAGGGUGACCGGCCACAUUGGGACUGAGAUACGGCCCAGACCCCAACGGGAGGCAGCAGUGGGGAAUAGUGCACAAUGGGCGGAAGCCUGAUGCAGCAACGCCGCGUGCGGGAUAACGGCCUUCGGGUUGUAAACCGCUUUCGCCUGUGACGAAGCGUGAGUGACGGUAAUGGGUAAAGAAGCACCGGCUAACUACGUG